UACAGAGGUCUCAAGCGUUGUUCGGAUUCAUUGGGCGUAAAGGGUGUGUAGGUGGCGCGCUAAGUCGGGUGUGAAAUUUCGGAGCUUAACUCCGAAACUGCAUUCGAUACUGGCGUGCUUGAGGACUGGAGAGGAGACUGGAAUUCAUGGUGUAGCAGUGAAAUGCGCAGAUAUCAGGAGGAACACCGGUGGCGAAGGCGGAUCUCUGGGCCUGUUCUGACGCUGAGGCGCGAAAGCUAGGGGAGCGAACAGG
This 253-nucleotide ribosomal RNA is filed under the name uncultured bacterium. RNAcentral describes it as "partial 16S ribosomal RNA". It matches the Rfam family "Bacterial small subunit ribosomal RNA", at positions 524 to 776 of the family's 1533-position model. The record is from RNAcentral.